ACAUUUAUUGAAAAAUAAAGAGCCAUUUAUCUGUUCUUAUCAGCUUAAUAUCUGGUACACUCCCCAUCGGGGAGUUCAGAAUGUUAAACUGAUUUUUGAAAUUAAGACGGAGGGAACGGAGCUUGCUCCACCUCUGUCGCGAGUCAACCUGGCAUUGCAUUACCGUCAGGAGUGGCUCAAUUAUU
Colletes gigas is the source of this 185-nucleotide small nuclear RNA. RefSeq annotates it as U2 spliceosomal RNA. The record is from RefSeq and is a predicted model, not a curated record. NCBI's taxonomy places the organism in Eukaryota, Metazoa, Arthropoda, Insecta, Hymenoptera, Colletidae. The transcript has a single exon.